RNAcentral lists this ribosomal RNA (873 nucleotides) under Inonotus tenuicontextus. Its description in RNAcentral is "LSU rRNA". It matches the Rfam family "Eukaryotic large subunit ribosomal RNA", at positions 66 to 915 of the family's 3401-position model. RNAcentral also lists the same sequence under 1 other name. The record is from RNAcentral. Lineage: Eukaryota; Fungi; Basidiomycota; Agaricomycetes; Hymenochaetales; Hymenochaetaceae.
UAACAAGGAUUCCCCUAGUAACUGCGAGUGAAGCGGGAAGAGCUCAAAUUUAAAAUCUGGCGGCCUUCUGGACGUCCGAGUUGUAGUCUGGAGAAGUGUUAUCCGCGUCGGACCGUGUACAAGUCUCCUGGAACGGAGCGUCAUAGAGGGUGAGAAUCCCGUCCAUGACACGGACGCCCGAUGCUAUGUGAGGCACUCUCAAAGAGUCGAGUUGUUUGGGAAUGCAGCUCAAAAUGGGUGGUAAAUUCCAUCUAAAGCUAAAUAUUGGCGAGAGACCGAUAGCGAACAAGUACCGUGAGGGAAAGAUGAAAAGCACUUUGGAAAGAGAGUUAAACAGUACGUGAAAUUGUUGAAAGGGAAACGCUUGAAGUCAGUCGCGUCCCGCGGAACUCAGCCUGGUUUCGACCUGGUGUACUUUCCAUGUGGACGGGUCAACAUCAAUUUCGGUCGGUGGACAAGGGCGAGGGGAAUGUAGCGUUGCUUCGGCGACGUGUUAUAGCCCCUUGUCGUAUACGCUGGUUGGGAUUGAGGACCGCAGCACGCCCUUGUGGCCGGGGGUUCGCCCCACGUAACGUGCUUAGGAUGUUGGCAUAAUGGCUUUAAGCGACCCGUCUUGAAACACGGACCAAGGAGUCUAACAUGCUUGCGAGUGUUCGGGUGGAAAACCCUUGCGCGUAAUGAAAGUGAAAGUUGGGAACCUCCGCGAGGGGGUGCACCGACGCCCGGCCCUGACGUUCUCUGACGGUGCCGCGGUAGAGCACGUAUGUUGGGACCCGAAAGAUGGUGAACUAUGCCUGAAUAGGGCGAAGCCAGAGGAAACUCUGGUGGAGGCUCGUAGCGAUUCUGACGUGCAAAUCGAUCGUCAAAUUUGGG